This is a long non-coding RNA of Harpia harpyja (harpy eagle), 2498 nucleotides long. RefSeq lists it as uncharacterized. The transcript is spliced from 6 exons. NCBI's taxonomy places the organism in Eukaryota, Metazoa, Chordata, Aves, Accipitriformes, Accipitridae. The record is from RefSeq and is a predicted model, not a curated record.
CACAAAGAAGAGGGUGAAUAAUGUGGCCCGUGGAACAAAAGCCUUUAGAAAAGACAAAGAGAUACAUACCAUGGGUCUCCCGCUGGUUUUGGAGAAAGUGAUGCAAAGUGCAUAUGACCGGUUCCAGUGCUCCCACCACACAACUGUGAGCAUUAGCGGUUUGCUAGAGAUUACUCUGCGGGACGCCCAGGCACGACCAGUCCCGUUGUCACCCUCACACUGGCAGCAACUGGCUUCCACCUACGAGGAUGGGGAAGACGAGGAAGCGUACAGGCAGCUGGCCAGAGAGCAGCCGUACCAGCCACACCGCAGCAGCGAUACAGCGGUACAGCAGACGUGUCGGGCUAGGAGUAAGGAAGUUUUGUUUGGAUUUUCUCCUCCUGUGUCCCUCUCUGAACGUGGGUGACAAGACCUGUAUGUGCAAGCACUCUACAUAAUGUCUAGAUGCAACUAAAACUAAAACCACAUCUACUGUGCUUCUGGAGGACAGAAAGGGCCUGGAGGACACAAGGGGGGACUGUGUUAACACUUGGAGAUACUUAGCGUGGGAGAAAUUGGUCUGAGGAAGCUGCAGUCUGAACAGCAAGAGGGAGAGACAGACAGGCAGACAGAGCUGACAGAACUGCUUUACAAAGGUUUUUCUCUUAAAAGGUGAUGGUGUUUCAUGCUGUGGUGAAGUUGUGUGUCUCCUGGCAAACAAGAAGAGAUCUAAGUAAACCAGCCAGACAAAUCUUGGGGAUGAGUGAGCUCCGGGGAACGAAUAAGAACCCAUUUUGUGCAGUCAAGUGGUAAGAGAUGGAUGAAGAUGAAGAAUGAGCAGAAGCAUAAUUCAGCAGCAUACCUGAUGGCAUAAUGACAUUGAUGUUUCUUGGCUCAUAUAUCACCCCAGGUGCAGAUAUAUGUCAUCUCAUUUCUGUCCAGCACAAUGGAGAGUCCGUGAGGGAUAUUAUGACUUUUUAAGUCACUGUCUCUCAGCCAGGUUGCUUUGGGGCCAAUGCAAUUACAUGCUCUUCCGCCUGUGGGCUUGAUAGCAAACUGACACUCCCGCCCUCAGCUAGAGGAGCGAUCAGUUGAGGAUGACAGUGUUGCAGAAACAGUUAAGUUAGUCCUGUGUCUUGUCUGUCCCGCGGUGCUGUAUCAGCUUCACGUCUGCUGGAGUGCAGCCUGUGAGCCCCUGUGGCUAAUGCUACCUUUCUCAAAUUGCUGGGAUGCAGGCGUCAAAUACCUAGUACCUCCUACAAGGCGUAAAUGUAGAUUUUCCCUCGGUAUCACAAAUAUGCAGAUCUAGUCUGCUCUUUCCAAACGCGGCAGACGAAAAUCUUGUCUAGAUACUGAACAUCAAGCUGUUGGCAAGUAAGAAGGGCAGGCUGAAUUUCAGAUACUGUUAGAAGACCUUAAAUGUUCCCUAGGGGUCUGACCUUGCGUUCCUUACCCCUGUAAAUCUUUUUUUUUUUUUUUUCUCCUAAUGGACCCAUGUGGAACUAUGCCUAGGGACAAUGCACAUGGCUAAGAGUUGCAGGACCAAGACUAUAUUUUUUGUGACACAAAGUAAUGUUGCCAGUAGGCCACAUCAACACGUAUAAGAAAUGGAAAAUCCUGAUGUAUAUUGAGCAUUGAAUUUUCACAGUAAAUCAACAAAUCUAAGUAAAGUCAGAUCUCAAUUACCCGCACAAGAUGCAGUCUUGUUGAUGUUAUUCAGAACAUGCAUUUUAUUGCCUUGCAAACAUCUGAAAGGAAUUCAGUUUUCAACAACUUUAGGCUUCGGUAUGGCAUAAUGGCUUAGUUUUGUAACAACAGGCUGAAAUAUUGACUGUCACGGAAUUGACUGUCAAACUGAACUUUGUGGGUUUUGUUUUGUUUACAGAUUAAAACUGUCUUCUCAUUUUCAGCUCUGCAUACAAUACCUGCGCACUGAGAAGCACAGUCUGAAAACUGUCUGUGUACUGCAACACGAAAAAGACUGCUCCUAUAUACUGUGAUUAAAUGUAGGACUACAAAGCCACAGGUGCAAGCCACAUGGGACAGCGUGGCUUCUCUGCAAUAUAAGGCAUUUCUUCUACCUUUGAUAUCUGGACAUGAAAAGAAAGUGGCACUGAAGUAUAAUUUUAAAACAAUCUAAAUGUGUUACCACAGACAACAGCAUUGUUUGAAUAUGUAAUUAAUUUUGCUGCAAAACUCUAAUAUUAAUAAAUAGACCCUUUUAAAUGUCUCAGGAAUGCAGUCGCAUGAGCAGCUCUUGGAAACAAGGUACAAGUGCUAUUCUUCCAUUGCAACUCCUGGAACAUCGGUUGUGAUGUAAUACAUGAGUCUCAAAAAGUAAAUACAAAGCUGAUGUUGCGUCACGUAGUUGAGCUUUUAUUUAUAGAAAUAAUUAGAAAGCUAAUGAUAAAAAUACUCAUACGUAUAUGAAAGGUCACUGACAGAAAUGGAAGUUUCACUUGUUUUGAGGAACAAUCACCGAAUAAAAUUUCAUUCUUCCUGCCUGACAUGAGACUUAA